AAGUCGUAACAAGGUUUCCGUAGGUGAACCUGCGGAAGGAUCAUUAACAAUUGUCCAUUUUCCUUUGCAUAUGGAUGGUUCAAAUCCAUAUCCACCUUCGUGUGCACAUCAUCGACAUGUUCGCUUUGGCAGUUUGCAGGGAGAUCCUUUACCGUUUCUCCGUGGGAGGGAAAGGGGGGAGAGGAGAAUAGGAGAUGCUUUCUCCUUGCCUUUUCUCACCUCCCUUCUUCCUCCGGCGCUGCCAGAGUUUUUUUUUCCUCCUUUCACGUUGACAAACUUUUCUUGCUUUUUUUCUCGAAG
This 300-nucleotide unclassified non-coding RNA is filed under the name Endogonomycetes sp. RNAcentral's name for it is "partial contains small subunit ribosomal RNA and internal transcribed spacer 1". The stretch from base 1 to 46 matches the Rfam family "Eukaryotic small subunit ribosomal RNA", at positions 1786 to 1831 of the family's 1831-position model. Lineage: Eukaryota; Fungi; Mucoromycota; Endogonomycetes. The record is from RNAcentral.